Molecule: transfer RNA, 71 nt
Filed under: Ovis aries (sheep)
Lineage: Eukaryota; Metazoa; Chordata; Mammalia; Artiodactyla; Bovidae
Rfam family: tRNA
About the family: Transfer RNA (tRNA) molecules are approximately 80 nucleotides in length. Their secondary structure includes four short double-helical elements and three loops (D, anti-codon, and T loops).
Source: Rfam by way of RNAcentral
UUCCUAGUAGCUCAGCGGUAGAGAAUCUGCCUGUAAUGCAGGAGACGCCGGUUCCAUCCUGGGUUGGGAAG